RNAcentral lists this ribosomal RNA (407 nucleotides) under uncultured bacterium. Its description in RNAcentral is "partial 16S ribosomal RNA". It matches the Rfam family "Bacterial small subunit ribosomal RNA", at positions 28 to 526 of the family's 1533-position model. The record is from RNAcentral.
GACGAACGCUGGCGGCGUGCCUAAUACAUGCAAGUAGGACGCAGUUGCGAACGGGUGAGUAACGCGUAGGUAACUACCUAUUAGAGGGGGAUAACUAUUGGAAACGAUAGCUAAUACCGCAUACUAGUAGAUGGACCUGCGUUGUAUUAGCUAGUAGGUAGGGUAAUGGCCUACCUAGGCAAAGAUACAUAGCCGACCUGGGAGGGUGAACGGACACACUGAGAAUGAGACACGGCACAGACUCCUACGGGAGGCAGCAGGAGAGAAUCUUCGGCAAUGGGGGGAACCCUGACCGAGCAAAGCCGCGUGAGUGAAGAAGGUUUUCGGAUCGUAAAUCUCUGUUGUUAAGGAAGCGGUACUUAACCAGAAAGGGACGGAUAACUACGUGCAAGCCGCCGCGGUAAUAC